RNAcentral lists this long non-coding RNA (1067 nucleotides) under Parus major (Great Tit). RNAcentral describes it as "lncRNA (ENSPMJG00000014272.1)". Lineage: Eukaryota; Metazoa; Chordata; Aves; Passeriformes; Paridae. The record is from RNAcentral.
AGCAGAGCCAGGCUGUGGCACACAGCCUUUCCCAGCUGCUGGUGUUUCAGCUGAGACUAUGCCAUGAAGGGAGCAAUCAACUCCAGCAAAGGGAAGGACAGCAAGCAGAUUAGAGCUGUGGAAGACUUGAAGAGGAAUCAGACAGGAUGAAUCUACAGACACAACAGCUAAUAGAGCCUUGGCUGCCAGACCUAGACUCUUCAAUCAACAGAGACAAGUGACACCCCAAUCAUCCAGCAGCAAGGAAGAAGCUUGUGUUCUGGACAAUUCACCCAUUAGAGUCUGUUUUCUGAGCCCAUUGAGAGGACACAUUUUCUGUUGUGUUGGCAGAGCCUCUGGAAGAGUUCUUCAACCUGAAACUUCCAAGGAAUCUGUUAGGAAACCCAUCACAGCUUCCAGAUAACACGCUGCCAGCUUUAUUAAAAGAGCAAUGCUCGAGCAGGCUUGCACUCGCAUUGCAGUCAUUCUUGGCACUCCUGCUGCUUCCUCCAUCCAAGAAUUCUGCACCGCUCAUUCCACUGGCUGCCUCUUCCUACCAUCCCCACAACGAGUGCACCAAGCACCUCCCAGGAUCACCUGGAGCGCGGGAUUUUGAACUGCUUUUGACAAAGACUCUGAUGUGCUCCCCACUCCUCCCCAGGGAGCUGAGCUGGGCAGCAGCACUCGGAGAGGGUUUUACAGCAGCAGCGUGUGCAGGGUGGCUUCUCAUGGUCCCAGCCUCUCUGAGGUCCCACGUGUCUAACACAACUCCAUCCCCAAGCAUUGGGAUACAGUUAACCAACCAAAUCCCAAGGUUUUUCUUGAAUUUUCCCCAGAUUACUACCAGGGCAAGUUUGCUGCUGCUUCAAAACAAUGUUUCUCUGAUUACAACCUAGGCUGACAAUUAUAGUGAUUUAAACCCUAACUAAUUGUGAAGUACUUUGAUCAUGCUUAGCACAACUUGUGGUUUGUAGGCUGCAAAUAGUUGAAAGGAACUCUUGGGUUCACAAUUUCCUUGAAUAUAAAUUUUAUUUUGAUAUAUAAGGUAUGAUUAAAAUAUUAAAAUAAAGUUUGUGUUUGUUUUUUCC